GCUCUUUGCUGACGAGUGGCGGACGGGUGAGUAAUGUCUGGGAAACUGCCUGAUGGAGGGGGAUAACUACUGGAAACGGUAGCUAAUACCGCAUAACGUCGCAAGACCAAAGAGGGGGACCUUCGGGCCUCUUGCCAUCGGAUGUGCCCAGAUGGGAUUAGCUAGUAGGUGGGGUAACGGCUCACCUAGGCGACGAUCCCUAGCUGGUCUGAGAGGAUGACCAGCCACACUGGAACUGAGACACGGUCCAGACUCCUACGGGAGGCAGCAGUGGGGAAUAUUGCACAAUGGGCGCAAGCCUGAUGCAGCCAUGCCGCGUGUAUGAAGAAGGCCUUCGGGUUGUAAAGUACUUUCAGCGGGGAGGAAGGGAGUAAAGUUAAUACCUUUGCUCAUUGACGUUACCCGCAGAAGAAGCACCGGCUAACUCCGUGCCAGCAGCCGCGGUAAUACGGAGGGUGCAAGCGUUAAUC
Molecule: ribosomal RNA, 470 nt
Filed under: Escherichia coli
Lineage: Bacteria; Pseudomonadati; Pseudomonadota; Gammaproteobacteria; Enterobacterales; Enterobacteriaceae
Description: bacterial SSU rRNA
Rfam family: Bacterial small subunit ribosomal RNA
Source: RNAcentral